GCGGGAGUGCUGAAAUUGGUAUACAGGCACGCUUGAGGUGCGUGUGUCGAAAGACGUGCAGGUUCAAGUCCUGUCUCCCGCACAA
Molecule: transfer RNA, 85 nt
Filed under: Candidatus Woesebacteria bacterium RIFOXYA1_FULL_48_16
Lineage: Bacteria; Candidatus Woeseibacteriota
Also listed under: 2 other names
Description: tRNA-Leu
Rfam family: tRNA
About the family: Transfer RNA (tRNA) molecules are approximately 80 nucleotides in length. Their secondary structure includes four short double-helical elements and three loops (D, anti-codon, and T loops).
Source: RNAcentral